Molecule: RNA transcript, 1404 nt
Organism: Eucalyptus grandis
Lineage: Eukaryota; Viridiplantae; Streptophyta; Magnoliopsida; Myrtales; Myrtaceae
Exons: 2
Source: RefSeq, a predicted model, not a curated record
AACAAACACAAACAGGAAACACGUUCUCAUCUUUCUUCACCGUCAAACACAAACAUUUCCUUCUCGGCUCUGCCUUCUUCUCCGAUGACUGUGCCUUCGCUCACGACUGCCAGUUCAGCCUCUCCUCCGAUUGACGCGCCUCCGCCUCACCAUCGCCAUCGCCGUCGCCACCCCUUGUCUCAACACCAGAACCCUAGUCGCUGCCGAAUCAGUCGAUCGUUGCCGUCCGUCGCCGAAAAUCCCUCAGGUCCGUGCUGCCAUCAAUUUCUCGAUCCGAGGAGCUUCGGCGUCCUUCUUAUUCGGCAUCUUCCGGGUGGAGAACUUGGAGGGCGCUUUGCCCGCCAAGCACUCUCCGAACUCAGCGGGUAUGGUUUAAUCCUUUUUUUUUUGGGUUCUUUCGCGAGGGGAAACGGAUGGCAAAAGAGGAUCCUUUUGAUUUCGUUCGGGAUUGCGAUGGGCGUCAGUGAUGGAAUUUGGGAAUUUUGGAGUCUGGAGUGGUGAAAAAUCUUUCUGGGUCAGCUUGGCCGCUGUCCUCUGCUCGUUCCUCAGUUGUAGACACGAGCGGACAAAGCUGAUUGGGCUUACCUUCUGUUUGACGAGAUGGUUGGUCAAGAAAUAACUCCAAGGUAUCAGACAUGUCGUUUGAUGUUGGAUGAAGUGAGACAGAAGAACAUGUAUGAUGCUGCUGAGAGGAUUGAGGAUUUCAUGAAGCAAUUAUGAGCACAAGGUAAAAUCUGUAUAAGCUGACAUCUAGUUUGAUAUGGCCUGGAUGUUACAAUGAACAAGUAGCUGCAGCCCUCAAUAUUUGUGAUCCCGCUUGUUUGAAUAAUUGCCAUUACUCUGAAGCUUCAAAAUGGACAAUGUUGUGAAUCAUGAAUUAGAGUCCAGCACAUUAUCAAAAGCAAGGGUCCAACUUGGUGAGAUGACAAGUGCUUUUUAGUGCGUUAGAUGGUUGGACGGACUUUGGUUUGGACUAAAGCAAUCUGAAAUCAACGAAUGCACUCAAGGAAGGUUUCUGAAAUAUGCACUGCAAAUUCAGAAUAUGGGAAGUGUGAAUAUCCUUGUUACACAUCUUCAAGGUGUUGGAAUGGUUCGUGUGUGAAAGCUUGAGUCCUCCAUGAAUACUAAGUAUAUGAUAGUUUCUAUCGCAAGAGUCCAACUAUAUCUAUAUAAAACCUUGGUCGAUAUGUUAAUUAGACAGAGCUCUCCUUUUGUGUUCAUAGAGUGGUUGUUUCUGUCACUGAUGUGAAUCUAACUUAAAGAGCAUCUUUGGAGCUUCAUUUGUGUCCUUUCUUCCUUAUAAGAUUGUAGAAAGAGGCCAACAAGGUCAUCUUUGUGAAUUUCAAAUUUGUUGCAGCCUAGAAGCAAAGAGAGUUUGAGUUAAAUGACUGACAAUUGCCUUAA